CUGAAAAUUAUGGAAACAGUUAAUGUAAAAAAAGGAAACAUAUACAUACAUAGAAGGAUAUAAUACACCAUACAUCAUAGAUUCCAGGGAAAUAUCCAUCCAGGAAUUAAGGAGCUCCACUACACGAUUUGUCUGUCUGUCUGCCAUGCAUGUGUGCAGGCUCAGCUCUCUGUCAGAAAGUUGUGCAAGUGGUUUGUAUAUGCCAUUUUUUGCCAUUCGAUUUUCAAUUCUCUACAAUUUGGAUUUUAGUCAAUAGACUAAAG
Molecule: non-coding RNA, 263 nt
Organism: Pelobates cultripes (western spadefoot toad)
Lineage: Eukaryota; Metazoa; Chordata; Amphibia; Anura; Pelobatidae
Source: the annotation of a GenBank genome assembly